UUUCGUAAAGAUUUUCGUAAA
RNAcentral lists this non-coding RNA (21 nucleotides) under Caenorhabditis elegans. The record is from RNAcentral. Lineage: Eukaryota; Metazoa; Nematoda; Chromadorea; Rhabditida; Rhabditidae.